GAUGAACGCUGGCGGCGUGCUUAACACAUGCAAGUCGAACGAGAAGUGGAGACGGAAACCUUCGGGCGGAAGACUUUAUUUCGAGUGGCGGACGGGUGAGUAACGCGUGGGUAACCUGCCUCAUACAGGGGGAUAACAGUUGGAAACGACUGUUAAUACCGCAUAAGACCACAGCACCGCAUGGUGCGGGGGUAAAAACUCCGGUGGUAUGAGAUGGACCCGCGUUCGAUUAGCCAGUUGGCGGGGUAACGGCCCACCAAAGCGACGAUCGAUAGCCGAUCUGAGAGGAUGACCGGCCACAUUGGGACUGAGACACGGCCCAAACUCCUACGGGAGGCAGCAGUGGGGAAUAUUGCACAAUGGGGGAAACCCUGAUGCAGCGACGCCGCGUGAGUGAAGAAGUAUUUCGGUAUGUAAAGCUCUAUCAGCAGGGAAGAAAAUGACGGUACCUGAGUAAGAAGCCCUGGCUAACUACGUG
This 478-nucleotide ribosomal RNA is filed under the name uncultured bacterium. RNAcentral's name for it is "partial 16S ribosomal RNA". It matches the Rfam family "Bacterial small subunit ribosomal RNA", at positions 28 to 507 of the family's 1533-position model. The record is from RNAcentral.